This 301-nucleotide long non-coding RNA is filed under the name Ananas comosus (pineapple). Its description in RNAcentral is "long non-coding RNA (ACOM_LNC000944)". Lineage: Eukaryota; Viridiplantae; Streptophyta; Magnoliopsida; Poales; Bromeliaceae. The record is from RNAcentral.
GAGAUCGCGGGCGGCCGGGCUGCGCGCUGUUCACCUAGGAAGAAGGGUGAAGGUAGCUAUGAGCAAAGAGAGGGGUGAUGGGUUAGGGUUAGAGAAGAAGAGAAGAGAAACCUAGGGUUUCUCUCUUUCUUACUUGUAAAAAUUGCAGAACCAAAAAUCCAAAAAUUUUACCCAACUCCCUCACAGCAAGAGUAAUACGCGAAACGACACCCUCACAUCCGAAAUCGUGCAAUUCGAAACAUAAAAUAUCGAAAGAUUUUUCGGAGUCCGAAUUUCCUAAUCUAACCCAUUCUCGAUUAUC